AGUGAACGCUGGCGGUAGGCCUAAUACAUGCAAGUCGAACGGCAGCACAGUAAGAGCUUGCUCUUACGGUUGGCGAGUGGCGGACGGGUGAGGAAUACAUCGGAAUCUACUUUUUCGUGGGUGAUAACGGAGGGAAACUGACGCUAAUACCGCAUACGACCUACGGGUGAAAUCAGGGGAUAUUCGGACCUUUCGCGAUUGAAUGAGCCGGUGUCGCAUUAGCGAGUUGGCGAGGUAACGGCCCACCAAGGCGACGAUCCGUAGCUGACCUGAGAGGAUGAUCGGCCACACUGGAACUGAGACACGGUCCAGACGCCUACGGGAGGCAGCAGUAGGGAAUCUUCCGCAAUGGGCGAAAGCCUGACGGAGCAACGCCGCGUGAGUGAAGAAGGUCUUCGGAUCGUAAAACUCUGUUAUUAGGGAAGAACAAAUGUGGAAGUAACUAUGCACGUCUUGACGGUACCUAAUCAGAAAGCCACGGCUAACUACGUG
Molecule: ribosomal RNA, 492 nt
Filed under: uncultured bacterium
Lineage: Bacteria
Description: partial 16S ribosomal RNA
Rfam family: Bacterial small subunit ribosomal RNA
Source: RNAcentral